This 22-nucleotide microRNA is filed under the name Homo sapiens (human). RNAcentral describes it as "hsa-miR-374c-5p". Its record names the gene hsa-miR-374c-5p. Lineage: Eukaryota; Metazoa; Chordata; Mammalia; Primates; Hominidae. The record is from miRBase by way of RNAcentral.
AUAAUACAACCUGCUAAGUGCU